AUUGAACGCUGGCGGCAUGCUUUACACAUGCAAGUCGGACGGCAGCGGGGUAGUGCUUGCACUACUGCCGGCGAGUGGCGAACGGGUGAGUAAUAUAUUGGAACGUACCGAGUAAUGGGGGAUAACCAAUCGAAAGAUUGGCUAAUACCGCAUACGCUCUGAGGCGGAAGCAGGGGACCUUCGGGCCUUGCGUUAUUCGAGCGGCCAAUAUCUGAUUAGCUAGUUGGUGGGGUAAGGGCCUACCAAGGCGACGAUCAGUAGCGGGUCUGAGAGGAUGAUCCGCCACACUGGGACUGAGACACGGCCCAGAGUCCUACGGGAGGCAGCAGUGGGGAAUUUUGGACAAUGGGCGCAAGCCUGAUCCAGCCAUGCCGCGUGUCUGAAGGAGGCCUUCGGGUUGUAAAGGACUUUUGUUAGGGAAGAAAAAGGAGCGGUUAAUACCCGUUUCUGCUGACGGUACCUAAAGAAUAAGCACCGGCUAACUACGUG
RNAcentral lists this ribosomal RNA (489 nucleotides) under uncultured bacterium. RNAcentral's name for it is "partial 16S ribosomal RNA". It matches the Rfam family "Bacterial small subunit ribosomal RNA", at positions 30 to 507 of the family's 1533-position model. The record is from RNAcentral.